GUCCACGCCGUAAACGAUGUCAACUAGCCGUUUGGUCUAUUUAUAGACUUAGUGGCGCAGCUAACGCAUUAAGUUGACCGCCUGGGGAGUACUGCCGCAAGGUUAAAACUCAAAUGAAUUGACGGGGGCCCGCACAAGCGGUGGAGCAUGUGGUUUAAUUCGAUGCAACGCGAAGAACCUUACCUACCCUUGACAUCCAGAGAAUCUGUGAGAGAUCGUAGAGUGCCUUCGGGAACUCUGAGACAGGUGCUGCAUGGCUGUCGU
Molecule: ribosomal RNA, 264 nt
Filed under: uncultured bacterium
Lineage: Bacteria
Description: partial 16S ribosomal RNA
Rfam family: Bacterial small subunit ribosomal RNA
Source: RNAcentral